UACAGAGGGGGCAAGCGUUAUUCGGAAUUAUUGGGCGUAAAGGGCGCGUAGGCGGCUUUUCAAGUGACGGGUGAAAUCCCUCGGCUUAACCGAGGAACUGCCUGUCAGACUGGAAGGCUUGAGACCGGGAGAGGUGAGUGGAAUUCCCAGUGUAGCGGUGAAAUGCGUAGAUAUUGGGAGGAACACCAGUGGCGAAGGCGGCUCACUGGACCGGAACUGACACUGAGGCACGAAGGCCAGGGGAGCAAACGGG
This 253-nucleotide ribosomal RNA is filed under the name uncultured bacterium. Its description in RNAcentral is "partial 16S ribosomal RNA". It matches the Rfam family "Bacterial small subunit ribosomal RNA", at positions 524 to 776 of the family's 1533-position model. The record is from RNAcentral.